This is a non-coding RNA of Pelobates cultripes (western spadefoot toad), 238 nucleotides long. NCBI's taxonomy places the organism in Eukaryota, Metazoa, Chordata, Amphibia, Anura, Pelobatidae. The record is from the annotation of a GenBank genome assembly.
CAGGCGGCUGCGGUCUGCGGUUAACCACAAACUAAUUGACGUUCGCACACCAAUUAACUACCGAACAACCUCACGAACGUAGACCUCCUACAGUGGCUCGUGUGUCAGCAAUUAGCCUGUGGUUUCUGCGGUUAACCACAACUCAAGUACCGUCCUACCGGGCGGUCCCAAUUCGUAUACCGAACGAUUUCCACUACCAGACAGACAGCGGGGAUUCGCAUGAACUAUAUCCGAGUUC